This is a non-coding RNA of Podarcis muralis (Common wall lizard), 529 nucleotides long. NCBI's taxonomy places the organism in Eukaryota, Metazoa, Chordata, Lepidosauria, Squamata, Lacertidae. The record is from RefSeq and is a predicted model, not a curated record.
CGGAGCUGUGCGCGCGCGAGGCCAUAGAGCUACGGAGUAUGGGGGGGCGUGUAGAGUUGCCAUCGGGUAAGAACACGGUGGGUUCUGCAGUUCGGCUUCACGCGCGCCUACUCAGAAGGAAGCGACAUGAUGCAGCUCCCAGGAAAAUGCGUAUAGAGUUAUUACAAUUAGCAUUAAUAAUUUAAUUAGAACAUCUGGAGGGCCACGCACCUCCCCUCACUAAUUCAGGUUCUACAUCAGUGGCACACAAUUUCAGCUCACCAAAAGCCCAAAUGUCCGAUUUGCUGCUGAACUUGCUGUACAAAAGAACCUCUGGAGGGGACCACCGGACUGGAAAUUUGGAUCCCAUGGAGCUAAUGUAGUCAUCAUCCAAGACGUACCUGUGUAGACAGAUUUUGGUUGUGCUAGUUUAUAUGUUGCCUUACAGGAUCUUGUGCUUCCUAAAAGCCUAAAAGCUCCUCAGGAUGAACAUUCAUUCCAAUUUGUGUGCACAAAGCUUCUGUGGAGAUUAAACAAUGUUUGCUCUUUA